Molecule: ribosomal RNA, 211 nt
Filed under: uncultured bacterium
Lineage: Bacteria
Description: partial 16S ribosomal RNA
Rfam family: Bacterial small subunit ribosomal RNA
Source: RNAcentral
CAGAUGUGAAAGACCCGGGGCGUCAACCUCGGAAUUGCAUUUGAAACUAGGCAAACUAGAGUACUGUAGAGGGGGGUAGGAAUUUCAGGUGUAGCGGUGAAAUAGCGUAGAGAUCUGAAGGAAUACCGGUGGCGAAGGCGGCCCCCUCGGACAGAUACUGACACUCAGAUGCGAAAGCGUGGGGAGCAAACAGGAUUAGAUACCCUGGUAG